AUACGGAGGGUGCAAGCGUUACUCGGAAUCACUGGGCGUAAAGCGCGCGCAGGCGGCUUGGUAAGUUGGAUGUGAAAGCCUACGGCUCAACCGUAGAACUGCAUCCAAAACUGUCAAGCUAGAGUGUGGGAGAGGAAGAUGGAAUUAGUUGUGUAGGGGUAAAAUCCGUAGAGAUAACUAGGAAUACCAAAAGCGAAGGCAAUCUUCUGGAACACUACUGACGCUGAGGCGCGAAAGCGUGGGGAGCAAACAGGAUUAGAAACCCCAGUAGUCC
Molecule: ribosomal RNA, 274 nt
Filed under: uncultured bacterium
Lineage: Bacteria
Description: partial 16S ribosomal RNA
Rfam family: Bacterial small subunit ribosomal RNA
Source: RNAcentral